AUUUUAUCUCCUGUAAUGGAUCUACUGGAUCCGGACCACUGUACCACACGCGAGAAAUACUCACAGAGGUAAAACGGGGGGAGACUCCCGCUUAUUUACACACACUCUUGGAGACGGUACGGCUAACGGAUGAGCCUCAGGUAUUACAAGAGUGCAGGUUUUGGUAUAUUCUGUGCUAUAUAAAACAGACAAUUGCAUUCUGUUUUGGAUAUCCGGAAUAUUGCAAACAAACUGCGCAGACAGUUUUUCCCAUAUCAAGAUGACAUGAGAUACGGAGACCUUAAUGGAGCAAAUGGGCACUGCCUUGUUCAGG
Pelobates cultripes (western spadefoot toad) is the source of this 313-nucleotide non-coding RNA. Lineage: Eukaryota; Metazoa; Chordata; Amphibia; Anura; Pelobatidae. The record is from the annotation of a GenBank genome assembly.